UAAACAUAGCAGUGGUGGUAGAAUCUUUUGAUCCUGGUUCCUUUGGUUGUAGACUCCUGCUCCCAUCUCCUGUCGUCUUAUAUGAUCCCUGUCAAUAUUUUUUUUUUCUUUUUUGUAGAAGUUGGCUAUAAAACAUUUUGGACUGGUUGAAUUCUUCUUGGACACAACUUGAAGCCAGAAAUUUUAAAUUUAUAAACUUGGAUUUAUUAUUACAUUAUAGCCGACCCCAACUGGUUUGGGAUCAAGGCUUAGUUGUUGUUGUUGCUAUUGUUAUUAUUGUUAUUAAUUUUUUCAAGUUCAUGUUGGGAAACUAUUUUUAAUGUAAUUCAUCUGAGAAGGUAUUAGUUGUUGGCCUGAAAGAAAAGCACUUAUAAAGCAAGACAAGGGUUUUCUCAAUAUAGUUGAAAUUAUUUUAUUUGAAAUCUGAAUUGGCUGUUGAGAUAGGAAAGACAAUCAUUUAUUGUUCAAUCUG
This 472-nucleotide unclassified non-coding RNA is filed under the name Hevea brasiliensis (rubber tree). Lineage: Eukaryota; Viridiplantae; Streptophyta; Magnoliopsida; Malpighiales; Euphorbiaceae. The record is from RNAcentral.